This 253-nucleotide ribosomal RNA is filed under the name uncultured bacterium. Its description in RNAcentral is "partial 16S ribosomal RNA". It matches the Rfam family "Bacterial small subunit ribosomal RNA", at positions 524 to 776 of the family's 1533-position model. The record is from RNAcentral.
UACGUAGGGGGCAAGCGUUGUCCGGAUUUAUUGGGCGUAAAGAGCGUGUAGGCGGCCAGACAGGUCCGUUGUGAAAACUCGAGGCUCAACCUCGAGACGCCGAUGGAAACCGUCUGGCUAGAGUCCGGAAGAGGAGAGUGGAAUUCCUGGUGUAGCGGUGAAAUGCGCAGAUAUCAGGAAGAACACCCGUGGCGAAAGCGGCUCUCUGGAACGGUACUGACGCUGAGACGCGAAAGCAUGGGGAGCGAACAGG